AACGAACGCUGGCGGCAUGCCUAACACAUGCAAGUCGAACGAGACCUUCGGGUCUAGUGGCGCACGGGUGCGUAACGCGUGGGAACCUGCCCUUAGGUUCGGAAUAACUCCCCGAAAGGGGUGCUAAUACCGGAUAAUGUCUUCGGACCAAAGAUUUAUCGCCUUUGGAUGGGCCCGCGUUGGAUUAGCUAGUUGGUAGGGUAAAAGCCUACCAAGGCGACGAUCCAUAGCUGGUCUGAGAGGAUGAUCAGCCACACUGGGACUGAGACACGGCCCAGACUACUACGGGAGGCAGCAGUGGGGAAUAGUGGAAAAUGGGCGAAAGGCUGAUCAAGCAAUGCCGCGUGAGUGAUGAAGGACUUAGGGUUGUAAAGCUCUUUUACCCGGGAUGAUAAUGACAGUACCGGGAGAAUAAGCACCGGCUAACUCCGUG
Molecule: ribosomal RNA, 433 nt
Filed under: uncultured bacterium
Lineage: Bacteria
Description: partial 16S ribosomal RNA
Rfam family: Bacterial small subunit ribosomal RNA
Source: RNAcentral